This 68-nucleotide transfer RNA is filed under the name bovine gut metagenome. It matches the Rfam family "tRNA". Rfam says of the family: Transfer RNA (tRNA) molecules are approximately 80 nucleotides in length. The record is from RNAcentral.
UGAUAUAGCUCAGUCGGUAGAGCAGCUCAUUCGUAAUGAGCAGGUCGUCGGUUCAAGUCCGACUAUCA